AACAAAACGGCCCUGAGGAAGCAGAUAGCACAAUGACAAGAGUAAGCUCACUAAAUGGCGGCAUCCAUGAGCCGCCCUGCUCCUGUCUGCAGUGGAUGGAACUGAGGUCCUAGACAACAGGAUGGAGUGGCGAGGGUCAGGAUCAGAAAAUGACAGACAGCUUAGUCUGGCUGCUGUUUGCCGUGGUAGCAAGAUGGCUCUGGUCCGUAUCUAUGCUAGUAGAGGUUUAUAGCAAGGCCAAGGACCUGCCCUGUGGGGUGUCGCCUGGGUGGCAGAAAGGUGCCUGCAGUCAUGCAAGUAUACAGAGUAGUGAUGGUGUGUGAGUGAUACCCACGCCCCAAACUCAGCCGCCUCCAAAACCUACAGUGAGGACUCACAUGCUUCCUGCUGGGGCUAUGUGGGGAAAGGGUGUGUGAGUUCUGCCUGUCCACAGCUUUCUGGGCCCUACAGUCACCUAGACUCCUAUACAUAUGUAGCAGAUGAGCAGCUUGGACCUUCACCGGGCUUUCCUGUCACAGAAGCAUCACCGAAGAAUGGGGAGGAUGCCAUGAAGACCGCUGUCUCCAUGUAAGGAAGGUGGUGGCAUCAGGGGACAGGAGGAGCUACUGUGAAUGGAGACUGUUCCUGGCUGCUACCACAAUCCCCAGAGAAGAACCCAAUUAAGGACCCACACUGUGCCCAGGGCGGAGCAGCAACGUGUGGCAUCAGCACAGGAAGUGUAGGUGAGGGUCAGGCUGAAGAAGAUAAGCACAGGCACGCUCCCCUCCUGACUGGAGGAAACACAGGAAUGCCCCAGGGCUUUCAGUAAGAGUUAUGGCCUUGCCCUUCCUGACAGAUAUGAUAGUCCUAAAUGAAACAAAACCCCACAGUCUUGAAGAUAAAGGAAGGAACGGCUCUGGAAUCCAGAGCAGGAGUUUACAAACAAGGGUGGUCAUGAGUGAACUCACGAAUGACAGACAAGCAGGGUCAAAGGAUCCUCUACACAAGCAACGACAGUUCAGAAACCAGGCGGACGUCAAAGCCUUCAGGAGAAGCUGCAAAGCAAAUUCCCUACACUAAUGAGAGACCAGAGCUUCUUAGGUCUGCCACUCACUGAGUGUGAUUGUGUGUGUGUGCACACAUAUGUGUGCCUGUGCGUGUGUGUACAUAUACAGUUAUGCAUCCAGGUAUGCAUGUGUGCAUACACACGUGUGUGUGUGUAUGUGUGUGUGUGUGUGUGUGUGUGUGUGUGUGUGUGUGUGUGUGUGUGAGAGAGAGAGAGAGAGAGAGAGAGAGAGAGAGAGCAAGAGAGAGAACAUGUAUGUCUGUCAUGGGACAACCCUGAGCCUUCAAGCCCAGAGAGUUUCUUAUGACUUCAUGAGUCACCACAGACUUGCUGUCUUCAAACAAUACAAGAAUUCCAGGAAAAGAAAGGAAUGUCUGCCAUUUAACAGAAACAGGAUUCAAGACAACCUCAUUAAAAAGUAGGCAAAACGUAUUAUGCCUCAAAGAAGAUAUAAGAGUUACUGUCUGCACAUGAAAGAAACGUUCGGUAUCUGCUAGCACUGGGGAAGCCGAAGCCACGUUGAGAUAACACUUCAGACUCACUAGGAUGACCACAUAUGGAAAUGAAACGAAACAAAACAACCUCGUGGCCCCUGGAGACCCAGCAUCCUCAGCAUCAGAGCUGUCUGGAAGGCUGUGAGGGAUGGUGGUAAGAUCCUCUCUGCAGGGGAUAAACACGCAGGAAUGUGUGUGUCCUGCUUAACUGUGGGUUCCAUUUACACUCGUGGACUUAAGAAACCAAAAGCUGGCAUCACAGAAAAUGGGAAAGCAUGAUGAAUUCUGAGAAAACCAGAAGGUGCGACUACACUGGGUGAGUGGAGCAAGAUCCCGCUGGAUCAAGGACAGAGUGAGGUGAUGAUGCCAGAGUCUCCAUGCGCUCCGCCCCAGGAUACUAGGGCUGAAGACUGCAAGGUGGUGUCCCCCAACCACCUGAUGCCCAGACCUCUCCCUCAGCUGGUCCUACAGCCCCAGGCUACCCUGGACACAGCAGACCAGUCAGUCAGUGGCAGCCUGAGCUGGAAGAGGCCAGGGGCUCUCAAAAGAAACACAGGGCAAGGCUGUUGUAACAUGUCACCACCAGGAUAGGUCUAAAGGGAGAAGGUUUUGCUGUCCCUGUGAGCACCCUGUAGGAGGAAUUCCUAAAGGCACCUGACUGUAAGCAGCCCUGAGCAGACUCCCAAGUCCCUCCCUAGACACUGGAGUAUGUGGCCCCCCAGCAGGCACAGAGGCCCUGUAGUCUGUGUCUUUGGGGGGAGUUCAGGGGAAAACAAGGGCACAUGUGUGAGGAGAGAGUAGCUUGGAGAGACCUGGAAGCUAAGAGAGGCCCAAGACCCAGCACAGGGCUCCCUGAGGCGGAGGAAGGGGACGGUGUGCAGGGCCAUUUGAGGGAGAGCUGACAGCGCAGGAAGGGGAAGUUGAUGGGAAGACUCAGGAGAGAUGGCAAGAACUGGAGUUUAUGCCGGGAUCUGAAUGAAAUGAGGAGAAUCCUCAAGUGUGCAGCUCUAAGCAGGGAUUGGGGAAGGGGACAACAGAAACCAAGGAUUGUGAAAAAGCCAGACGGAAAUGCUAUU
Mus musculus (house mouse) is the source of this 2615-nucleotide long non-coding RNA. RefSeq annotates it as predicted gene, 51698. Lineage: Eukaryota; Metazoa; Chordata; Mammalia; Rodentia; Muridae. The record is from RefSeq and is a predicted model, not a curated record. The transcript has 3 exons.